Molecule: ribosomal RNA, 500 nt
Filed under: uncultured bacterium
Lineage: Bacteria
Description: partial 16S ribosomal RNA
Rfam family: Bacterial small subunit ribosomal RNA
Source: RNAcentral
AUUGAACGCUGGCGGAAUGCUUUACACAUGCAAGUCGAACGGCAGCACGGACUUCGGUCUGGUGGCGAGUGGCGAACGGGUGAGUAAUACAUCGGAACGUGCCCAGUCGUGGGGGAUAACGUAGCGAAAGCUACGCUAAUACCGCAUACGAUCUAAGGAUGAAAGCGGGGGAUCGCAAGACCUCGCGCGAUUGGAGCGGCCGAUGGCAGAUUAGGUAGUUGGUGGGGUAAAGGCCUACCAAGCCGACGAUCUGUAGCUGGUCUGAGAGGACGACCAGCCACACUGGGGCUGAGAAACGGCCCAGACUCCUACGGGAGGAAGCAGUGGGGAAGUUUGGACAAUGGGCGAAAGCCUGAUCCAGCCAUUCCGCGUGCAGGAUGAAGGCCCUCGGGUUGUAAACUGCUUUUGUACGGAACGAAAAGGCUCUGGUUAAUACCCGGGGCUCAUGACGGUACCGUAAGAAUAAGCACCGGCUAACUACGUGCCAGCCGCCGCAGUAA